RNAcentral lists this ribosomal RNA (594 nucleotides) under Chironius multiventris. Its description in RNAcentral is "partial 16S ribosomal RNA". It matches the Rfam family "Bacterial large subunit ribosomal RNA", at positions 1848 to 2721 of the family's 2925-position model. Lineage: Eukaryota; Metazoa; Chordata; Lepidosauria; Squamata; Colubridae. The record is from RNAcentral.
UUAAGGCACGCCUGCCCAGUGAACAAUUAAACGGCCGCGGUACCCUAACCGUGCAAAGGUAGCAUAAUCAUUUGUCUACUAAUUAUAGACCUGCAUGAAAGGCAAAAUGAGGGUCUAACUGUCUCUUAUAAUGAAUCAAUUAAACUGAUCUCCUAGUAAAAAAGCUAGAAUCUCCACAUAAGACCAGAAGACCCUGUGAAGCUUAAACUAAACUAUUAAACCAUAUAAUAACCACUUUCGGUUGGGGCGACCUUGGAAAAAAAAAGAACUUCCAAAAACUAUGACUAUCCAUACUACCCAGGCCAACAAGCCAAUAAACGACCCAGCACAGCUGAUCACCGAACCAAGUUACUCCAGGGAUAACAGCGCAAUCCUCUUCAAGAGCCCAUAUCAAAAAGAGGGUUUACGACCUCGAUGUUGGAUCAGGACAUCCUAAUGGUGCAGCCGCUAUUAAGGGUUCGUUUGUUCAACGAUUAACAGUCCUACGUGAUCUGAGUUCGAACCGGAAAGGGUUCGUUUGUUCAACGAUUAACAGUCCUACGUGAUCUGAGUUCACACCGGAGAUCGAGGUCGUAAACCUCUUUUUGAUAUGGG